RNAcentral lists this ribosomal RNA (429 nucleotides) under Pseudomonadota bacterium. RNAcentral's name for it is "Proteobacteria bacterium partial 16S ribosomal RNA". It matches the Rfam family "Bacterial small subunit ribosomal RNA", at positions 355 to 776 of the family's 1533-position model. The record is from RNAcentral. Lineage: Bacteria; Pseudomonadati; Pseudomonadota.
UGGGGAAUAUUGGACAAUGGGCGAAAGCCUGAUUCAGCCAUGCCGCGUGUGUGAAGUAGGUCUUCGGAUUGUAAAGCACUUUAAGUUGGGAGGAAGGGCAGUAAGCGAAUACCUUGCUGUUUUGACGUUACCGACAGAAUAAGCACCGGCUAACUCUGUGCCAGCAGCCGCGGUAAUACAGAGGGUGCAAGCGUUAAUCGGAAUUACUGGGCGUAAAGCGCGCGUAGGUGGUUCGUUAAGUUGAAUGUGAAAGCCCCGGGCUCAACCUGGGAACUGCAUCCAAAACUGGCGAGCUAGAGUAGGGCAGAGGGUGGUGGAAUUUCCUGUGUAGCGGUGAAAUGCGUAGAUAUAGGAAGGAACACCAGUGGCGAAGGCGACCACCUGGGCUCAUACUGACACUGAGGUGCGAAAGCGUGGGGAGCAAACAGG